ACAGCCAGGCUGCGGACUUCGCCAUGACGCUCGGCGAGUUCUACUGCAAGGGCUUGAACGCGCCGGUUGUGGUCGAGAUCAAGCGUGACGACGUGGUGUUCGCACGGGUCUACGACAUCCGCGGCAAGAGCAUCGCCAGNAUUCCGGCACCCUGAUCCCUCCCCCCUUUUAGGUUCGCGGCAUGGCGCCUCUGCGGACGCC
Molecule: unclassified non-coding RNA, 201 nt
Filed under: Hevea brasiliensis (rubber tree)
Lineage: Eukaryota; Viridiplantae; Streptophyta; Magnoliopsida; Malpighiales; Euphorbiaceae
Source: RNAcentral